This 512-nucleotide ribosomal RNA is filed under the name uncultured bacterium. RNAcentral's name for it is "bacterial SSU rRNA". It matches the Rfam family "Bacterial small subunit ribosomal RNA", at positions 9 to 515 of the family's 1533-position model. The record is from RNAcentral.
GAGUUUGAUCUUGGCUCAGAUUGAACGCUGGCGGCAGGCCUAACACAUGCAAGUCGAGCGGUAGAGAGAAGCUUGCUUCUCUUGAGAGCGGCGGACGGGUGAGUAAUGCCUAGGAAUCUGCCUGGUAGUGGGGAAUAACGCUCGGAAACGGACGCUAAUACCGCAUACGUCCUACGGGAGAAAGCAGGGGACCUUCGGGCCUUGCGCUAUCAGAUGAGCCUAGGUCGGAUUAGCUAGUUGGUGAGGUAAUGGCUCACCAAGGCGACGAUCCGUAACUGGUCUGAGAGGAUGAUCAGUCACACUGGAACUGAGACACGGUCCAGACUCCUACGGGAGGCAGCAGUGGGGAAUAUUGGACAAUGGGCGAAAGCCUGAUCCAGCCAUGCCGCGUGUGUGAAGAAGGUCUUCGGAUUGUAAAGCACUUUAAGUUGGGAGGAAGGGCAGUAAAUUAAUACUUUAGCUGUUUUGACGUUACCGACAGAAUAAGCACCGGCUAACUCUGUGCCAGCCGC